UACGGGGGGGGCAAGCGUUGUUCGGAAUUACUGGGCGUAAAGGGCUCGUAGGCGGCCGACUCAGUCGGACGUGAAAUCCCUCGGCUUAACCGGGGAAUUGCGUCCGAUACUGGCCGGCUUGAAUCCGGGAGAGGGAUGUGGAAUUCCAGGUGUAGCGGUGAAAUGCGUAGAUAUCUGGAGGAACACCGGUGGCGAAGGCGGCAUCCUGGACCGGCAUUGACGCUGAGGAGCGAAAGCCAGGGGAGCAAAC
RNAcentral lists this ribosomal RNA (250 nucleotides) under uncultured bacterium. RNAcentral describes it as "partial 16S ribosomal RNA". It matches the Rfam family "Bacterial small subunit ribosomal RNA", at positions 524 to 773 of the family's 1533-position model. The record is from RNAcentral.